GGGUUCAUAGCUCAGCUGGUCAGAGCGCCUGCCUUACAAGCAGGAUGUCGGGGGUUCGAGUCCCUCUGAACCCA
This 74-nucleotide transfer RNA is filed under the name Borrelia sp. HM. RNAcentral's name for it is "tRNA-Val". It matches the Rfam family "tRNA". Rfam says of the family: Transfer RNA (tRNA) molecules are approximately 80 nucleotides in length. The record is from RNAcentral. Lineage: Bacteria; Pseudomonadati; Spirochaetota; Spirochaetia; Spirochaetales; Borreliaceae.